GACGAACGCUGGCGGCGUGCCUAAUACAUGCAAGUAGAACGCUGAAGAGAGGAGCUUGCUCUUCUUGGAUGAGUUGCGAACGGGUGAGUAACGCGUAGGUAACCUGCCUUGUAGCGGGGGAUAACUAUUGGAAACGAUAGCUAAUACCGCAUAACAAUGGAUGACACAUGUCAUUUAUUUGAAAGGGGCAAUUGCUCCACUACAAGAUGGACCUGCGUUGUAUUAGCUAGUAGGUUAGGUAAUGGCCUACCUAGGGGAAGAUACAUAGCCCACCGGAGAGGGUUGUCCGGCCAACUGGGACUUGGACCCGGGCCAAACUCCUACGGGAGGGAGCAGUAGGGAAUCUUCGCGAAUGGGGGCAACCCUGACCGGGCAACGCCGCGGUAGUGAAUAAGGGUUUCGGAUCGUAAAGCUCUGUUGUAAGUCAAGAACGAGUGUUGGAAUGGAAAGUUCACACUGUGACGGUAGCUUACCAGAAAGGGACGGCUAACUACGUG
Molecule: ribosomal RNA, 497 nt
Filed under: uncultured bacterium
Lineage: Bacteria
Description: partial 16S ribosomal RNA
Rfam family: Bacterial small subunit ribosomal RNA
Source: RNAcentral